CUACGGAGGGGACUAGCGUUGUUCGGAAUUACUGGGCGUAAAGAGUUCGUAGGCGGACUGAUAAGUAAGAGGUGAAAUCACAGGGCUCAACCCUGGAACUGCCUUUUAAACUGUCAGUCUAGAGACCGGAAGAGGUUAGGGGAAUACCUAGUGUAGAGGUGAAAUUCGUAGAUAUUAGGUGGAACGCCAGUGGCGAAGGCGCCUAACUGGUCCGGUACUGACGCUGAGGAACGAAAGCGUGGGGAGCAAACAGAAUUAGAAACCCUAGUAGUCC
RNAcentral lists this ribosomal RNA (274 nucleotides) under uncultured bacterium. RNAcentral describes it as "partial 16S ribosomal RNA". It matches the Rfam family "Bacterial small subunit ribosomal RNA", at positions 523 to 796 of the family's 1533-position model. The record is from RNAcentral.